Molecule: long non-coding RNA, 730 nt
Filed under: Gallus gallus (chicken)
Lineage: Eukaryota; Metazoa; Chordata; Aves; Galliformes; Phasianidae
Description: long non-coding RNA NONGGAT005400
Source: RNAcentral
AGGCUUCAAGCAUGGCUCUGCUAAUCCGCCCCGCACGCGCACCCGCACGCACAGCCCCGGCGGCGGCACCGAGGAGGAUCCCGACGGCCGCAGCAGAUGGGAGAGCUCCGACACCGCUCAUCCCACGCCUCCUUGGAAGCGGGCGAUUGAAGCCCGGGGAUUUCUACUCGUUUUCUCGGAGCCCCCCCCGGCCCCCACCCGAGGGAUGGAUGCUCUCGCGUUGGAGAUGCCGGCGCUCGGGGCUUCGCUGGGCUGAAAUUGAGGAGCGUUUGUAGAACCCUUCCCUAGGACGCCAUGGUUCCCCCACGCUGAGCCCUAUCCUCGCUGCUGUGCUGUGCUGUGUCACCUCUCCCUGCUCCUUCUUUCACAGUGCCGACAGAUCCGAGCUGGAGCUGCUGACUCCCGCGUGGAGCUGUGAUUCCUUCCUGGGGUUUGUGCUAUUUCCAGCUCCUGUUGCCCCCAUUCCUGUGACGCCCAUCCCUGUGUGCUGGGAGCAAACCCUGGUUGGGAGCACGCUGCGCUCUGCUCCGUUUGCAGCCGCUUUUCCCACGCUAUAGGACGGCCCAGGGCAUAUCUUGCAUGGCACCAACGCUCAGCUCUGCGUGAGCUGCUGAGGCAGACGUGGAUCUGCAGGAUGAGCAGAGCUGCAGGCAGAGGUACUGCUGGCAUCAGGGGGUGGCUGCGGUGGGUUUGGGGUUUGCACUGCUGUGAGCGCUGCGCUUUGCAUUCC